GCCCUGCUGGCUCAAUGGUAGAGCAUCAGACUUCUAUGUCGCUGUGUGUAAACCCGUUUGUCUACCAGUGCUAGUUAUCUGAAGGUUGUGGGUUCGAGUCCCACGUAGGGUG
Molecule: non-coding RNA, 112 nt
Organism: Hypoxylon sp. FL1150
Lineage: Eukaryota; Fungi; Ascomycota; Sordariomycetes; Xylariales; Hypoxylaceae
Source: the annotation of a GenBank genome assembly